Molecule: ribosomal RNA, 273 nt
Filed under: uncultured bacterium
Lineage: Bacteria
Description: partial 16S ribosomal RNA
Rfam family: Bacterial small subunit ribosomal RNA
Source: RNAcentral
UACAGAGAGUGCAAACGUUGUUCGGAAUUACUGGGCUUAAAGCGCACGUAGGCGGCGCCGCAAGUGUGGGGUGAAAGCCCACGGCUUACCCGUGGAAUUGCCUGGCAGACUGCGGUGCUAGAGGAUGGUAGGGGAGAACGGAACUCCUGGUGGAGCGGUGAAAUGCGUAGAUAUCAGGAGGAACACCGGUGGCGAAGGCGGUUCUCUGGUCCAUUUCUGACGCUGAGGUGCGAAAGCUAGGGGAGCAAACGGGAUUAGAAACCCCCGUAGUCC